AUGAACGCCGGCGGUGUGCCUAAUACAUGCAAGUCGUACGCACUGGCCCAACUGAUUGAUGGUGCUUGCACCUGAUUGACGAUGGAUCACCAGUGAGUGGCGGACGGGUGAGUAACACGUAGGUAACCUGCCCCGGAGCGGGGGAUAACAUUUGGAAACAGAUGCUAAUACCGCAUAACAACAAAAGCCGCAUGGCUUUUGUUUGAAAGAUGGCUUUGGCUAUCACUCUGGGAUGGACCUGCGGUGCAUUAGCUAGUUGGUAAGGUAACGGCUUACCAAGGCGAUGAUGCAUAGCCGAGUUGAGAGACUGAUCGGCCACAAUGGAACUGAGACACGGUCCAUACUCCUACGGGAGGCAGCAGUAGGGAAUCUUCCACAAUGGGCGCAAGCCUGAUGGAGCAACACCGCGUGAGUGAAGAAGGGUUUCGGCUCGUAAAGCUCUGUUGUUGGAGAAGAACGUGCGUGAGAGUAACUGUUCACGCAGUGACGGUAUCCAACCAGAAAGUCACGGCUAACUACGUGCCAGCAGCCGCGGUAAUACGUAGGUGGCAAGCGUUAUCCGGAUUUAUUGGGCGUAAAGCGAGCGCAGGCGGUUGCUUAGGUCUGAUGUGAAAGCCUUCGGCUUAACCGAAGAAGUGCAUCGGAAACCGGGCGACUUGAGUGCAGAAGAGGACAGUGGAACUCCAUGUGUAGCGGUGGAAUGCGUAGAUAUAUGGAAGAACACCAGUGGCGAAGGCGGCUGUCUGGUCUGCAACUGACGCUGAGGCUCGAAAGCAUGGGUAGCGAACAGGAUUAGAUACCCUGGUAGU
This 809-nucleotide ribosomal RNA is filed under the name Limosilactobacillus reuteri. Its description in RNAcentral is "bacterial SSU rRNA". It matches the Rfam family "Bacterial small subunit ribosomal RNA", at positions 29 to 794 of the family's 1533-position model. Lineage: Bacteria; Bacillati; Bacillota; Bacilli; Lactobacillales; Lactobacillaceae. The record is from RNAcentral.